GCGCCCAUAGUUGAAUGGAUACAACGGAAGAUUGCGGAUCUUCUGGUGAAGGUUCGAUUCCUUCUGGGCGCA
Molecule: transfer RNA, 72 nt
Filed under: Candidatus Beckwithbacteria bacterium GW2011_GWC1_49_16
Lineage: Bacteria; Candidatus Beckwithiibacteriota
Description: tRNA-Arg
Rfam family: tRNA
About the family: Transfer RNA (tRNA) molecules are approximately 80 nucleotides in length.
Source: RNAcentral